RNAcentral lists this ribosomal RNA (606 nucleotides) under Triticum aestivum (bread wheat). Its description in RNAcentral is "partial small subunit ribosomal RNA". The record is from RNAcentral. Lineage: Eukaryota; Viridiplantae; Streptophyta; Magnoliopsida; Poales; Poaceae.
AUGGGUAAGCCUAGAGGGAAGGCCAAGAAAUCCGCUGAGGAUGCGAGGGACGACGACGACGGCAGUGGCAGCGAAGAGGCCGCUCCGACCGACCACAAGAGGAGCGGCAGUCCUCUGAAGCCUCUCGGGGACGACGGAGCCGGCGAAGAAGUGGAGGACAUCGCCAAGGUCGCGGAGGCCGCAGACAGCGUGAAACCGGUCGUGCCAACCAAGGGUGCCGACGGCACGGUUGGCGGUAAAGUUCCUGACGGAGCGAUGAAGAGGCCGCGGCGGCGCCAGCGGCGUCUGCAGGUGAAGCGAAGCUCCGAGUCGGUUGAGGACGUCGGCGACAAAGACGGUGACGACGUGAGGACGAAAUCGAACGGGUUCCGGCGAAACGGAAGCCGCCGGAAGAACUCUACUCCCCGGCGGGCAGCCGAGGCGGGAGACCCGGCCGUACCCGUGUUGCAUGAGUCGACAACGACCAGUAGCUGCCGGCCACCGAUGUGCAACCGGCAUGUCAUUUUGCUGGAACUGACGGACGAGAAGUUGCGACCACACACAACUAUUGCCGGAACCAGCCAGCCAGCAAGGUCGUUUUUCCUGCAAUCGACAUUUUUUUUCUAG